Molecule: long non-coding RNA, 7463 nt
Filed under: Homo sapiens (human)
Lineage: Eukaryota; Metazoa; Chordata; Mammalia; Primates; Hominidae
Description: non-protein coding lnc-PJA1-4:2
Source: RNAcentral
AAUCUGAGUGUGCGGCUCGUGCGGUUAGGGUUGGGUCCCUCUCAGUCCUGUUCCCAGAGAGCUCAACCCGUGGGAAGUUGGCACUCUCAAGAGCUGCCGGCCUGCUCUCCUCUCCACGCGUCUGGUCAACACCCCAGCCCACUGACCCUGUCCCAAGUACCCCAGGAAAGUAUUUCCAUUUUCUUUUUACACACAGGACCCCUGAAGUCCUGCUCUGUGCCCACCUCCGUGUCAAGGACAGCCUGUCUGCUCCUCGUCCAGUCCCACGUAAGGCUUUAGUGGGCUUUCCUCCUCUCGCCCUCAAAAUGCACUGUCUGCUUGCACUUGGACCCGGAGUCAGGAACAUAAAAGUGAGAACAGUGGGAGGGGGAAACUGGUGAGGGUCCAGUACUUGAUUGGGGUUAGAGGUGGGGCGGGGAGCAGGGUGGGGUGUGGUGGGGAGAGAAGGCGUGUUCAUCGCCCCUGGGGACCAGGCCUUCGGAAUCUCAGCUUUCUGGGGGAGCCUUGUGGGACCUCUGGAGCCAAGAUUUAGUCUUGUCCUGUCCGAAGGCGCGGGCAAGGUCCCGGGAUAGGCAAGCGGGGAUGAGAGGGCACGUCGAUAAAGAAAGACACCUCGAGGGCAAAGAGGAAAAAGCACAGGGCAUGAGACUUUUGAAAAAGCAAAAGCGGGCAUCCUGGACCGGAGAAGCCGGACUCCAGCCUGUCCCGGCCUCGCCAUCUGGGUCUUUGUCUCCCAGCCCUGGCCCAUUCUUCCCGCCCCGCCUUGCCUCUUUGCUUAUAACUUGGCUCGAUCCCAUAGCUCAGACCUUCCAGGUCCGACCCACUCUCGCUGGUCGGACCCCAGAGGACGUACCCACGUGCUAAUGUCUCCCCCUGCUGGACUUCCAUAGCACUGCGGGCGCCUGGGAUAAACCCGGAGCUUGCCAUAGCACAAGACCUGGGACAGGCGUAGCCUUGGCAAAAACCGUCACCCUGUAUGGGGAGGAAGGGAAAGAACUAGAAGGAUAUCUGAGUUUGGGGUAGGCUUAGGGACUGCCAAGAAUACAAGGUCUCCCCACUUUUUCUUUAUGGAGAUAAUUAGAUGAGCAACAUUCCCAAAGUGCUCCACCAUUCACACAGUUUCAUGUCCAUCAUCUCGCUUAAUAGGUGACUGAGCUACUGCGUUUCUCAGUGGAUCCUCUGAUGAUCUUUGUGGCUGUAGAGGUGGGAAUAGCCCAGAUUUUGUCUUUUUAUUUUCUCCCAAAUAGAGGAGAAAAUAGGGAAAAUCUGGGCCCUUCCCACUUCCAGGGGCAGCCCUUGAGGGUGAAGUGGCUCUGGGUAGGUAGGGAAAGAAGGAGCUGUUUGGGGUCUCUGAGCUCUCAGCUGGACCCUGCAUUGGGGUGUAAGGAAGGAGAGAUGAGAUGAAUAGGGUGUAGGGACACACCAGUAGUCUAGCUGGGAGACUGGGAUCCCUGGAGUGCAUGCUAGGACAUCAAAACCUGAAUACAGAAAGCAGCCUGCUGCUUACUGAGUGCCUACUAUUGUCAAGAACCAAGUUAGAUGCUUUUCCUUUCAUAACCUUUUGAAAUGAGUUUCAGUAUCCCCAUUUUACCUACAGGGGAAAGUAAGGCUCAGAGAGAAGUGACUCAUCUGAGAUCACCAAGCUGAUCAGUGGUGAAAGCAGGAUUUGACUCCUGGGACAUCUGUCUCCAAAGCCUGUGGCCAUUCCCCUGUACCAUACUGGCUCAAAUUCCCAGCCAAUCCUUGCUUCUUUGCUUCUUUGGUUCAUUCCUGGUUAAGGCUGGGUCGUGCAUGGACAGCAGCAGCCUGGGGCUGGCCAGGACUCUUCCCUCACUGUCCUUCAAGAGGUUGCCAGGCCUGGAAAGUUCAUCUAUAUUCCUGGCCAUAGCCCAGAGUUCUUCUCAUCUAAGACCACCACUGCCAACCCUAGAGCCAGCCUUGAUUCUUCCUCCCCACAGCCAGCAUGCCCGGUGCCCCACAGGAGGAGAGCCCAAGGCCAGGUGGGGGAUGGGGAGAUGAGGCUAUGCGGCCAGUCUUGGGAAACAUGGGAAGACAAGCAGUUCCUGAGUGUGCCAGCACCUAAUCCCGGUGGGCAGGGUGGCAGAGGAAAUGAGAAGAAGACUCUUUAUGUCCAGACCUGCUCCACAUGCUACUUAUCCCUGCUCACAGCACAGCCUUUCUGCCUCAACCUGCCCACACCAGCUACAGGGGCCUCAGGAGCAGAGCUGAGCCUACUCCCUGCCAUGGCUAGGCCAGUGAUUCCAGGUUCCCACCUCCUGACCCACCCUGGCGGGGCCUCAGAUGUAAUGAUUCAGGCCCCCGAGGUAGGGAAAAAUUACUCCCAAGGGAGCCUGAGAGGAAGUCAGGAUCUGUGAGCAAUGGGGGCCCUCUCAUCCAAGCCCUCCCUAUACCAUUGGCAGUCACUCCCCACCCAUUUCUCCCAGGUUACUGUGUCAUUACAAACACAUCCACGCACGUGCUCACACACACACACACACACACAACUAUCAGGUUUCAAGUCCACCAGCAUUUCCUGAGCAGUGCCUCUGUGCUGACCUCUGAGCGGGGCCAUCCCUGUUGACACAAAGAGCAGCUCCAACAAGCCCUGCCCACAAGGAACACCAAACACUGAUACCUGUAUGUGGGGGAUCCUGGACCCAGAGAUGCAGGAGAACAUCUGGCAGCUGCAGGAAGCCUCGGGCAUCGUGCAGCCCUGGGAGAGCAGAGCUGCUCCUUCUGAGCUCAGCUUCCCACACCCAUGAGCAGCAGGGAGGUAUAAACUUCAGAGCCACAGAGUUCCCUGCUUAUGAACUGUGUCUCCUUGGGCAAGUCAGUUCACCUCUGUGUGCCUCAGUUACUUGUCUGUAACCUAGAGGUCGUCCCUCAUUCACAGAGCCGUGGUGACGGGUGAAUGAGACAAUGCAUGUGAAGGGCUUAGUAUCAUGCCUGGCCCACUGUGGUACUUACUAAAUGGAAACUCUUACUCUUCUGCAGAGCCUCCCACAGAGACACUCUCAUCCCCAGUCACACACGUUCUCACCUGUUCACACAUGCUUUGUGUGGCACAUGCACAUUUUUUAUCUCCUCUCAUAUUCUCACACACUUGUACAUAUAUGCACACAAACUCUCAUUCUUUCUCACCUAUCCAUUUAUUCAGCAGAAGGUGGCAGGACCGGGUACUGUCCUCGUGGAAUUUAAAAUCUAGCCCCCAGAGUUUCUCAUGUUCACUAUCAUCUACACAUGUGUAUGAACAUGCACACACCUUUCUAUUUCUGUGGCCCUUGUCCUUGACUUCUCCCUGCCUGCCUUGCACUCUGAGACACAGAGAGGUGAAAUAACUCACCUAAGGCCACCCAGCCAGGAAGUGGAAAAGUCAGGAUGUAAACUAGGCCACACUGAUAUACCAAGGCUGUGGAAAGGAGUGUGUGCCAAGGUGUGGGCCUGGGAAAGCCAGCAGGCCCAGCCAGAGCUAACAGUUAGAAAAGCAGACUGAAGAGUCAGGGAGCAAGGAUCCUAACUUGAGGUCCAAGGCAUUGCCAACUGGGACAACCCAGUGGGGCUAGCAACCCUCUCUCUUGUCUGCAGUCAUCUCUAGCCUGCCCCAUGCCUCCUAUUUUCCUCCUAGAAGACCUACUACCUGUACCUGCACAUCUCACAUACACUGGCACCUAUUCCCUACAAGGAGAGGGAGAGCUACCAUUUAUUAAACACCUACUGUAUGCCAGGCAGUGUGGCUGGGUGCUUUCACCUGGUGCUCUAUUAUGUUUGUUUAAUCUUCACAACAUCCCUGAGGUUGAUAUUGAUAGACCUGUUUUAGAGAUGAGAAAACUAAGGCUCCAGGCUCAAUCUGGCUGCAUCCUCUGCUCCACCAACCUCAGUCUGCAAAGUGCUCUUUUGCUCAGCCAGCUUAUUCCCACCACCCCCUUCUCUGCUGUCCUUCCCUCUGCCCACACUUGCCUCCUAGCUGAGACCAGCUGGGGUCUAUGCUGAUCUUGGGUUGCCCUUUCUCUUCAAUGAAUACUUUGCUUUUUUCCAAUUCACCCUAUCUGUAGGUCAGUCUCUGGGCAAGCCUGGGGUGGGACCUGAGACUUCCCACUCUUCCUCCUUUCCCCACGUGGCUGCAUCAUACCCCAGGGCUAGGUGAGAUCUAGCCUCAGGCGGGUAAGAUCUGGAAGUCUGUUUUCACUGCACCCACGAGAGUUCCCGGUGGCUGGGGAAGAAGGGGGUCGUCCCAAAGGCCAAAGGUUCAGCCAGACUCUCUCCCCAGCCCUUCCCUGUCCCUGCCCCAGCUGCAUGCCUGGUUUAUGGGUAUUUGCACUGAGAUCAUCUUGAUUUGCCAGAUGCUAGCCUGUGUCAGGUUGAUGGCAGAAUGGCACUAGGGAUGGGAGGAGCCCCUCUCUCCCUCAGAUGGGUCUGGUCCCCCUCCCUCCUUCUCUCUUUAUCUCCUCCUCAUACCCCUUACCCCUACCCUGGACUCCUAGACAUCUGUCCCAAAGCCUCAAGCUCCAUGCAGGCAAAUGACCUGCCCCCCUGUCCCUGUAAGAGCCUGAAAUAGGGCAUCUGAGAGCCAGAGCAUGGCUUGGUGUGCAUAACAGGUGGACAAGCCUCUGAAGGGCAGCUGGGACCCUGGGCCCUCAGAGGCCUCAUCUUCAGAAACCCCUGCCCUGCUGGGUUUCACUGAUCUAGGCUCAGUUUCCUCCAGUAGUGCCCCUGUCCUCUGCUCUCCAGCCCAGCAGGAGGCAGCCUAGGUAAGGGUAAGCCUGUUGCUCUCUUGCUCUGGUUACCUGGAGAAUGUGCAAGGCUAGGCUGGGCCAUUCAUCACUGUCAGGGGCACAGGAAUUCGAGGGAAGGGAGCAGCACCUGUCCUCAUCUGUCACUGACCCCAGCCUAGCUCCUCAUCUCAGAGGGCCAGUGGGCCUGGGGGAGGGCGAUGGGAUGCAUCUUUGCCAGGUCCUCCUCCUGGUUCCCGAGUGAACACACUAGACACGUCAGGCCCCACAAACACCGGGAAUAAAGUUCCUAUGGAGGAACACCCCAAGCCGAGAGUGCAUUUGGGCAACCGAGGAGCAGAGGGAAGGACAAGCUGCUUCCUCAGUGCUCCAGCCCCCUAGCUCUGAGCCCUCUCUGGACUCCGAGCUAGCAUCCUGCCUCCCACCCAACCAUGGAGGUUAAAGGGUCAGGUUCUGGGCUUUCUUGGCUGAUAACCCCAGGCCUACCAGGAGAGAGACCACGAGCCUCUUGGGGCAUCCCGAGGACAGAAUAGGGGCUGGACCCAGCUGGCCAGAUAACCACUGGCAGAUAUAUGGCACCCAGGCCCACCACCCUCCAGCUGCCCCUCAGCCAACCCAGCCAGGAUGUCUGACACCUCCCCUCCCCACUCACAAUUUAGUCUAUCUUGGUUUAGAGACCUUCCUUCCCACCUUCAAUGAGGAAGGUCCUGGUAAGGGCCCAGUCUCUAAGCCUUUAGUCUCUCAACCAAGCCUUCCCCGCCCCACCCCCACCAGACAUCCUCCUCUCCAGGGCUGCCCAAAGAAGUGUUGGGGUGAGGCUGAGGCCCUGACAAACCUCGAUUGACAAACCACUCAGCAUCUUCCUCGCCAGGAAGCCAGCCCCUCAGAGGAACAUCAAUCUCCCUGGCCUGGCUUGUUUUUCUUCCACAGCCUUUCUCCAGGACACAAAGCAGAGCCUGCGGCAGCCCCUGCCUUAACUGGGAAGGGUGGGGUGUGGAGAGGGAGGGAACUUUCCUCCUGGGAUCGGUGUCCCUGGCAGAGGUGCAGAAUACAGGAAGUUUGGGAGCUUCUGCACUAACUUAGUGCCUGAAGGAAUUAGGGCUCCAAAGACCAGGGAGGGAGAGGGUGUGAUCUUAGAGGUGAGGAAAAGAGGCAGUAAAAGAGGUGAGGAAAAGAGACAGGUUAUUGAAUCAAAGUGGUGGAGUCCCCAAGCAAUCUUUUCCGCUCCCUAGUAGCCUGCCUAUUUCUCAAACUCUGUCGACCUCUGAUGGCCAGCUAAGUAUUUGCAUCCCUAAAGCUGAACCAGCACUGAGCCUCGCCCCCAGCAGCCGAACAGAAGACCGGGACACGGCCAGCUUCCGGUGCUGGCCUGGGCUGAGCUAAGCCAGGAACGCCCUCGUUUCUCCCUAUCCUCCCUCCAGACACUGGAAGUUAAUCUAUUCAGGCCUGCCUGAGCACCCACCUCCUCUGGACAGCCUUCCUGGAAGGCCCUAGCCCACAGGGACUGUUCCUCUCUUUGAGCUCCAUAUUCUGACUGUACUGCCCGAGAUCUCCACUUGGAUUUUCAUUAUUUGUGUACAUCUUAGCUGUCUCACUAGAUACUAACCUGGGGCAGAAACCACUGACUGCUUCUCCUUUAUCUUUAUGCAUCAAGGCCAAGCAUAAGGAUGGGCAUACAGGAGGCACUCCACAGAUGCUAAUGGUGAUGGUGAUGAUGGCAGCGGUAGUGGUAGUGACAGCCACUAUUUAUUGAGCACCUACUACAUUCCAGAUUGUUUGUAUCCAUUUUCUCAUAAGAAACUCAUUCUAUAUACAGACGAGGAAACUGGUGCACUCAGAAGCCAAGUGACUUAAAUAGUGUCUCCCAUCCAGUAAGCAACAGAACCCAAAGUUUUAUGCAGGUCUCUCUGGCUCCAAGCCACAAAUAUCUACAUCAGCCACAUGCCAGACACAGCCUUUAUUCCUGGGAGGGACACGGAGAUGACUGCAGCUCAGCCCCUGAUGUCAAGGAAUGGUGUUGGCCACAGCAAAGACUUGUAUGCUCCAUGGAACAUGGAGGGACUAGCUCUGCAUCCUUCCUCCUGCUCCCCUCUCCUCAUCUCAGGGAAAGUCUUCUCUGGUUUCACCAUUUGACAGAAGGACAGAUUGCCCAGGCCAGAUGAGCAGUCUCCCAGAUCCUGUCACACACAGAGGCUAUAGCUAAUUAGGACACUCCUACAGACAUCAGAUGCGUGAAAAAGUCAAGAAUCCAGGACCGAAGAGGGAGAUUCCAACAGAGAUCCUGCCAGUCUCUCCCAGGAAUAAGCAUAGGUGAGUCCAGUUCACAAACACUGCUGGGCCUCCCCUGACCCUGGCAGGUUCCAGGACCUGAGACUUAAAGAGAUGAGAGAGACACUCAAGUCACUUCCCCUCACCACAUGCCAUUUCCAGUUAGCCACCAAUCCCAAACCAACAAGCACGUUUGAGUAGAGGGCUCACCAACCCCACCCUCACUCUUGUCCAUGGCUCCCUGAGACAUUUUGUCUCUCUCCAACCUGGUGAUCUUGGAGGAAACUGAGGCAGGUCGCCCUUACCUUCUCCCCUCCCCAUGGAAGCCACUCACCUGAGACUCUCUUUCAGUCACUCAGUUCUUAGUAGUCGUUGGUGUGAAGAGUCAGCUCUGGCUAGUAAGGAAAAGAGCCCACUGUGGGGGUCUGAGGUGUUCCAACCCUCCUCUCCUUCCCUUGCCUGCUC